AGCUUUCUGAAACUGUGCUGAGUAUUCGACAGACAUCAACCCAUUAGGACUGAUGAAACUUGGAAGAUAAGUGAAGCA
Schistosoma rodhaini is the source of this 78-nucleotide non-coding RNA. Lineage: Eukaryota; Metazoa; Platyhelminthes; Trematoda; Strigeidida; Schistosomatidae. The record is from Rfam.